This 366-nucleotide ribosomal RNA is filed under the name Mantophryne cf. lateralis LAO-2013. RNAcentral describes it as "partial 16S ribosomal RNA". The record is from RNAcentral. Lineage: Eukaryota; Metazoa; Chordata; Amphibia; Anura; Microhylidae.
CUUUAAGCCUCCCUACAACACCAAAUGUACCCAUAGGCUUAAAAUUCACUCAAAUAAGGUACAGCCUAUUUGAAACAGGACACAACCUGCAACAGAGGGUAAUACAUAAACUAACGUGACCAAGUAGGCCUAAAAGCAGCCACCUUUUAAAAAGCGUUACAGCCUUAUCACAUUAUAUCAUUAAUUCCAACCUUAACCCAAAACCCCUUACCAAUACUGAAUGACCCCAUACCUCUAUGGAAGCCAUUAUGUUAAAACUAGUAACAAGAAUAUUUAUUCUCCCAUAAAUGUAAGUGUAAGCCGAAAUGGACCACCCAUCGGCACUUACCGCCAAUGAACCCACAGUAAUAACCCCCCCCCCAAAAA